CGCCCUAUUUGGUCUCUGCGGGUUAGGCAGCAGGAGGGGAGGCGUGCGCGGCGGAAGGGGACGCGGAGCGGACUCGGGUGCGCGAAGGCUCCUCUCUCACUCGCGCAGCCGCUACCUCGGUUGCAAGCCCACGAGGCCUCCGCGUCUUGCCCUCGGAACAAUGGGACUCGGCUCGCGAGGUUUCUUGGCGGUGCUGGCCCUAGGGGCCGUGCUGGCGAUAGCGCUGCUGAAGAUUGUCGCCGACAGCACAGACUUGGAGGAAUCUGCAGACAAGAAGAAUUCUAUGUCUCUAAAAGGCAACGGUGCUGACCCAACAGCUGGUGCACUGACCUCUUAACCAUGAGUUGUUCAUUCAUAAUUCCCCAAAGCCUGCUGUCAAAGGCUGCCCUUAGUGGGCGUCAGUAAAUGAUAGUUUUUCUCAGUCUAGCAAAGAUGUGAAUAAAUUCUAAAUUAUAAUUUUUUCUUUAUUAUUUUUAAGUUAUUUCCAUAAAUUUUAACAUAUAAACUCUAAAUUUAGAAUUUAGUAAAUUUAUAAAUUUUCUAAAUUCUAAAUUUAGAAUUUAUAUAUUUAGAAUUUAAAAUUUUUCUAAAGUAUAAAUUCUAAAACUAAAAGCAUGCUGGAAUUUAAUACUGAGUUUUGAAGCACAUAUUUAGGUAUCACGUUUUGCUCUCUGCCUAUAGAUUUGAACUCUGAAUAUGCAAGUCUGCCAUUCUUGCUGGUGGAAUAGGUCACUCUAAGCUGAUCCGCUGUGACAGCCUUAAUUUGCCUUGGUGAACUCUAAGGAUACUCUACUUAUACCUCACCCAUCAGUUAGAUUUCAACCCACCAUCUUGCUUCUGUAAUAGAGGAGGCCCUUUUCUUGUGCUUUUAGUUUGGGACAAAUGGCUUUGUUCCUUGAUUUUCUGAGUUCAUUAGCAUGGAAAGAUACAGAAACCAGACUGAUCUUAUAAAUAUAAAUAGAUGUUAUAAAUAGUAAACCAUCAAGGCAUGUUUUUUGUAAGCAGUAUUUAUCUUCUCACGAUCCUUAAGAGUUGACAGAGGUAGAAACCGGAAAAAGGUGUACAUAUCCUAUCACUGGACCCAUAUUCUCUAGUUUUAUUCAGCAGAUAUUUAUCCAAUGUCUCUAAGGUGUGGACACAUUGCAAAAUGGACCAAGCUCUGACUUAUUGGAGUUAUUGUUGUGGGGGGGGGGCAUUGUUUUACUUCAUUGUAGGAAAAUACGCAUAACAUAAAAUUCAUAAUGUUAGCCAUUUUUAAGUAUACAGCUCAAUGGCAUUAAAUACAUUCACAUUGUUGUGCAGUGUUACAGAGUUUUUAUUCUUGUGGGUGUCCUGUGCUCCAUGUAGUUCAUAUUUCAGUUUGCCUCUGGGCUUGCUUUUCAUUAUCUCUGCCUACUGGUUUCUGGCGCACAUACUUUUAUUCUGGUUCUAGUAAUUCUACAGUAAAUUUUCAAUGGGGAAAAAAAAGACUACAUAGAUUAUCCUAAGUGUAAUUGUGAUUUGCAAAUAUUUUCUCCUGUUCAGUAGGUGGCCUUUUCAUUUUGUUGAUGGUUUCCUUCGCUGUGCAGAAGCUUUUUAGUUUGAUGCAGUCCUACUUAUGUUUGCUUUUGUUGCUUUUGAUGUCAGAAAAAGUUGUUGCUAACACUACUGUCAGGGAGUUUACCACCUAUGUUUUGUUCUAGAAGUUUAUGGUUGGAGGUGUCAUGUUCAAGUCUCAUCCAUUCAUAUCCAUGAAUUAAUUGUUCUGUAUGGUGUGUCACCCUUAAAAAUUAAAUAGCCAGUUAUUUUACCAGCAAAAUGAGUUUAUGUGGGAAUAGCAGAGGGAUUGCAGGUCUGGAGAACAAAGGAGAGGAGUGUGUGGGUUGUUUUGUUUUGUUUUGGGGUUUUUUUGUCUUUAGGGCCACACCCCUGGCAUAUGGAGGUUCCCAGGCUUGGGGUCCAAUCAGAGCUAUAGCCAUCAGCCUACGCCACAGCAACAGCAAUGCCAGAUCCAAGCCGUGUCUGCAACCUACACCACAGCUUACAGUAAUCCUGGAUCCUUAACCCACUGAGCCAGGCCAGGAAUCAAACCUGUGUCCUCAUGGAUGCUAGUCAGAUUCGUUUACACUGAGCCAUGAUGGGAACUCCACAGAGUGUGUUUUUAUAGAGGAAGGGAGGAAGUUGGAAGGGUCUGCUUCAAACAGAAGUUCACUGGAGGAGAGCAGGAGUGCAUGGUUGACAGCAGCUGCUCAUUGGUUAAAUAUGGUUGUUUCUCAUGGGCUGGUCUGGGCUGUUGCUGGGCAAAGAGAAAAGCUUUCUCUGCUGGGGUGUGUAGAAUAAGCUUCUUCCUGCUGGGUCUGCAAGGGGCACUGAGAGGUAGUAUAUCAGAGCUCUCCCUUUGGAACAUCUUAACCUCGUUUUUGAAUGAGGGUUCCUUUAUUUAUUUUCAGUAAAUAAAGAUCUUUUGAUCAGGAUCUUUCCUCAAAAACUUCAUUGAUCAAGAGUCAGGUUUUGGUGCUUCUGUUCCUCUUUGCAGGGAAGGACCUUUCCUUGUCAUAGUCCACGUCAGAGGAAGGUACACAAAUUGAAAACUGUUGAAACCACAUUUGAGGGAGAACUCUCAGAUAACCUCUCAUCUAAAGUCUAUAAUCUUAUCAAGGUCAUAGCACUGGAGAUCAUCUCAAAGCAUUCCAUUAUGUUACUCUUUUUGGUGUAUCACCUCUGCAGAGAUUUGACAACAGGUACAGAGUUGAAAAAUAAUUAUGCAAAACAGUUAAAAGUGACACAAAAAAAUCAAGUGGCUUGGUGGUUCUUAACUAUAAUGCUAGACCUGAAGGUAACCAACUCAACAGAUCAAAGAGCCAUGGAGAGUCAGGUGAAAUUCGUUGUAACCAGUACACCUGCACCCUAAUCUUGUGCAGUUGAGUUUCUAUCUUCCCAGAGGCGUUAAUCUAUAUGCAACAGAUGGUAUUUGCUAUUGCACAAAUGCCUCCUUAUUCAGGAAGUAGAUAAACAAAGGCUAUGUGAUUGAUUGUCCAAAACUGCUUGAAGCCAGUGUGUCAUAUGAUCAUUGUUGGGGUGCUGCUAUCUUGACAGUGGAGUUGGUUAGCUCUCCCAAUGUAGGGAGAAAUUUUUGAUCUUGCAUUCAUUGGCACUUAACACCCGUUCAUGAGAGAAGGGCUUUCCCUGUGGAGGCAAACCUAGAGUCACGUGUGCUUCCUGGAAGUUCCUGUCUAAGGCAGCCAUGGAAGUUUAACAGGGAAGAACCAAUGAGAGUCUUCUGGUUUGUUAUACAUGUUGACAUUUAAAUGUCCUAAUAAGCAUUGACCUGCAAUUCACUAGCUGUUUAAACAUUCGUAUCCCCAUGAGAAAUGUCACUCACUACAAAGUCAAAAUCAGGUGGAGCACAGAGAACUUCAGCUCAGGUCUAGCUAUUGACAGCUUCAUUAGCUAGAAUUUCCUAAUUGACUUUUUCAAGCCAAGAGUCAGAAGAAUUGGGAUGAUAUUCUUUAUAAGGUACCAUCCCAGCCGAAGAGGUCUUUUCUAAAAGCCUUGCAAAGAGGAGCUGGCCUACUUGUGUUUCCAUUGGGUAUAGGUCAGCAUGGUUUUUUAAUAAAAGGUUUGGGGGGGGUAAAGGUCAUACAACUGUUGGAGUUGUUUUGUUGAACUAGUAUUGUCAUGGCUAAAGAAAGGUUGAAACAAGGCAUGGGGACACCUGGCUGUUAAUAGCCUAACUCAGUAGGUAACACCUGUAGGCUUGUGAGUAUAAUUGACAAUGAUAUUUGGGACUAAGGAGAAGUUGGUUACAGGUAAAAACGAGGGAUAUCCAACAUCAUGAACAGAAGGGAGUUGCUAGUGGCAACUCCAGCAGUCAGAGAGGUUUCCCCUUUUGCAGUAGAUUGGGGAAGGCAGACAAGAGCAUUGUCUUUCCAAGAAAGGGAGAAAAAGCUACGCAGACCUGAUGCAGUCAUCUUGGAAAAGCUGUCUCCUUCAGGUGUUGUCUGCUUCAGUUCUUGGAAAUCUUUAUUUGCAGGUCACCAGUUAGGACACAGGUCCAGACAGGCUUUGAUGCUUCCUUUAGAUAUGAUAUGUUAUUCCAAGAGCCAAGAGUUUUUCUGUUUUUGGUUUUUAGUUUGGUGGUACAAGGGUUUGUUAACAGUACUUAAUAGGGCCCUUUCCCGUAGGGUUGAAAGGGGUCUUUCUAGAGAUGUUUUUUCCAGUAGAUGAAAUCCCCAGGCUGCGGAGUGUGGUGUUUGAGGUCUUCAUCUCCCAGGAGUGCACUAUGAAAAGAUCGCCCUACUAAAGCAUGCUUAUUUCUGUGAUACACAUUUUAAGAUACUGACUAGAAUCCUGACUCAUAACCUCAUGCCAGGACAUAUCAGAAUUUUAAGAAUUUGAUACAAUUUGUAAGAUUUGUUAUCAAUAACAUUCACCCUUGUAAUAUAACCUGAGAAGGUUUAUCAUCACUUAUAUGACAGUGCUUCCUGUGUAAUUUAACUUACCAAAUAAGCCUCAUUAGUUUAAUAAAGAGAGAGAACAAAUCUUUUGGAAUGUUUUAGGAACAUCUGGAAAUGCCCAGGGUUACUUUUGGGUCAAAAAGACUUUUAUUUAGGGAGUUCCCGCUGUGGUGCAGUGGGUUAAUGAUCCAGCUUGUCUUUGUAGAGGUGCUGUUUCAAGGAUCCGGUGUUGCUGCAGCUGUGGCUCAGAUUCCACCUCUGGCCUGGGAACUGCUGUGGAGGCAGCUGAAAAAGAAAGAAAAGAGAGACUUUGUUUAUUUUUAUUUUUUAUUAAAUUUUUUUUUCCUUAAAGUGUAAUUGAUUUACAAUGUUCUGUCAGUUUCUACUCCACAAUAAAGUGAGUCAGUCAUACAUAUGCGUGUGUGUGUGUGUACGCGCACAUACACACACAUUCUUUUUCUCGUAUUAUUUUCCAUCAUGUUCUAUCACAAGUGAUUAGAUGUAGUUUCCUGUGCUAUAUAGCAGGACUUCAUUGCUUAUCCAUUCUAUAUGUAAUAGGUUGCAUAUGCUAAUCCCAAACUUCCAGUCCAUCCCACUCCUUCCUCUCCCCUUGGCAACCACAAAUCUGUUCUCUAUGUCUGUGAGUCUGUUUCUGUUCUGUAGUAGAUAAGUUCAUUUGUGCCACAUUUUUUAUUCCACAUAUAAGUGAUAUUGUAUUUGUCUUUCUCUUUCUGGCUUCACUUAGUAUGAGACUCUCUAGUUGCAUCUAAGUUGUUGCAAAUGGCAUUGUUUUGUUCUUUUUUUAUGGCUGAGUAGUAUUCCAUUGUACAUAUGUACCACAUCUUAAUCCAUUCAUCUGUUGCACUCUUCAUAAUAGCCAAGACAUAGAAACAAUCUAAAUACUUUUUUUAGAAUUUGAUUUUUUGAAAGUUUGUUGAAAAUAUCAAAAGGUUUUAGACACUUGACUAAGAUCACAGAUUAUUGUAAAACAAUGCUUAAUUAUCUAAGAAAGUUACAUAGCUCUGGAGUUCCUUCGUGGCUCAGUGGUUAACAAAUCCGACUAGGAACAAUGAGGUUUUAGGUUUGACCCCUGGCCUCACUCAGUGGGUUAAGGACCUAGCGUUGCUGUGAGCUGUGGUGUAGGUCACAGACGUGGCUUGGAUCCAGCAUUGCUGUGGCUCUGGCGUAGGCCAGCAGCUACAGCUCCGAUUAGACCUCUAGCCUGGGAACCUCUACAUGCCGCAGGUGCGGCCC
RNAcentral lists this long non-coding RNA (5690 nucleotides) under Sus scrofa (pig). RNAcentral's name for it is "lncRNA (ENSSSCG00015055180.1)". Lineage: Eukaryota; Metazoa; Chordata; Mammalia; Artiodactyla; Suidae. The record is from RNAcentral.